This is a non-coding RNA of Monodelphis domestica (gray short-tailed opossum), 73 nucleotides long. The record is from Rfam. Lineage: Eukaryota; Metazoa; Chordata; Mammalia; Didelphimorphia; Didelphidae.
GGCUGGGUAGCUCAGUGGAUUGAGAGCCAAGCCUUGAGGUGGGAGGUCCUAGGUUCGAAUCCAGCCUCAGCCA